UACCCUUGACAAUGUACGGAAGUCUGCUGAGAAGGUGGAAUGUGCCUGAAA
This 51-nucleotide ribosomal RNA is filed under the name uncultured organism. RNAcentral's name for it is "partial 16S ribosomal RNA". The record is from RNAcentral.